Long non-coding RNA from Melanotaenia boesemani (Boeseman's rainbowfish), 607 nucleotides. RefSeq lists it as uncharacterized. The record is from RefSeq and is a predicted model, not a curated record. Lineage: Eukaryota; Metazoa; Chordata; Actinopteri; Atheriniformes; Melanotaeniidae. The transcript has 3 exons.
CACCUUUCGCUCCUUCAUUUUUUCUCACAUUAGGGAUCUUGAAAAACCGUAAUUUGUUCUUGUAUUCACCCUCAUGGGAGAGUGAAUACCUGGAACACUCCUUUACACAACAAUUUAAUCCUGUCAUAUUGACUAAAGAUCACUCAACUCAGCCCAUCUCGACUCACAACCGCUAUAACUCGACUCAGCCUGGGAGAGAGUGUAUCGCAAACAUGGCGGAAAGCCGGCCAGGGGGGCGGGGCAAUGCGCUGUGACGACAACUCCUCAAGCUUUAUACUGGUCAGACCACAUUCCAGGCCAGGAGGAUAAAAUGAACCCUCUGUAGUCCCGCCAGUGUUAUUUUGGACUGUCCAGACUUGCAGAGUUUCCCCACUCAGAGUUCACUUGUCCUUGGUGGAAUUUGGAAGUCAUUUAAGAGACAGAAAAUCUUCUAUACAAGAUGAGGAAAGUCAAAUCAGUUGUUCAAGUUGUUCCUCCUAAACAAAGAGAUGCACAGUCAAGCAGAACAUUCACACAGCAGAAGAAAGAAAACACAGUCUGGAUUGUGGGUGACAGUUACAUUCAACGCAGCAAAGACCGUGCAAGAGAGACCAUCGGGACCAACCUU